This 511-nucleotide ribosomal RNA is filed under the name Blastocystis hominis. RNAcentral's name for it is "bacterial SSU rRNA". It matches the Rfam family "Eukaryotic small subunit ribosomal RNA", at positions 516 to 1034 of the family's 1831-position model. The record is from RNAcentral. Lineage: Eukaryota; Bigyra; Opalinata; Blastocystidae.
GAGAACAACGUACAAACCUUAUCGAUAAACAAUUGGAGGGCAAGUCUGGUGCCAGUAGCCGCGCUAAUUCCAGCUCCAAUAGCGCAUAUUAACGUUGUUGCAGUUAAAAAGCUCGUAGUUGAAAUGAAGGGUAGUUGUGUAGUGAAUACAUUCGUGUAUUUUGUUAUUCUACUACCCUCCUUCUAAAUUCGAUAUAUGAGUAUUAAUUUACUUGUAUAUGGUUUUAGACUUUUACUGUGAGAAAAUUAGAGUGUUCAAAGCAGGCAUUUGCUUGAAUAUAUUAGCAUGGAAUAAUCAUGUAUGAUUUUCAUGAUGUAUUUGAUUGGUUUGGUUCAUGAGAAUAAGAUUAAAAGGGACAGUUGGGGGUAUUCAUAUUCAAUAGUCAGAGGUGAAAUUCUCGGAUUUAUGGAAGAUGAACAAGUGCGAAAGCUUUACCAAGGAUGUUUUCAUUAAUCAAGAACGAAAGUUAGGGGAUCGAAGAGGAUUAGAUACCCUCGUAGUCUUAAAUAUA